This 1061-nucleotide ribosomal RNA is filed under the name Chryseobacterium piscium. Its description in RNAcentral is "bacterial SSU rRNA". It matches the Rfam family "Bacterial small subunit ribosomal RNA", at positions 34 to 1101 of the family's 1533-position model. The record is from RNAcentral. Lineage: Bacteria; Pseudomonadati; Bacteroidota; Flavobacteriia; Flavobacteriales; Weeksellaceae.
UGCCCAACCGGGGGAGCUACACAUGCAGCCGAGCGGUAGAGAUUCUUCGGAAUCUUGAGAGCGGCGUACGGGUGCGGAACACGUGUGCAACCUACCUUUAUCAGGGGGAUAGCCUUUCGAAAGGAAGAUUAAUACCCCAUAAUAUAUUGAAUGGCAUCAUUUAAUAUUGAAAACUCCGGUGGAUAGAGAUGGGCACGCGCAAGAUUAGAUAGUUGGUAGGGUAACGGCCUACCAAGUCAGUGAUCUUUAGGGGGCCUGAGAGGGUGAUCCCCCACACUGGUACUGAGACACGGACCAGACUCCUACGGGAGGCAGCAGUGAGGAAUAUUGGACAAUGGGUGAGAGCCUGAUCCAGCCAUCCCGCGUGAAGGACGACGGCCCUAUGGGUUGUAAACUUCUUUUGUAUAGGGAUAAACCUACUCUCGUGAGAGUAGCUGAAGGUACUAUACGAAUAAGCACCGGCUAACUCCGUGCCAGCAGCCGCGGUAAUACGGAGGGUGCAAGCGUUAUCCGGAUUUAUUGGGUUUAAAGGGUCCGUAGGCGGAUCUGUAAGUCAGUGGUGAAAUCUCAUAGCUUAACUAUGAAACUGCCAUUGAUACUGCAGGUCUUGAGUAAAGUAGAAGUGGCUGGAAUAAGUAGUGUAGCGGUGAAAUGCAUAGAUAUUACUUAGAACACCAAUUGCGAAGGCAGGUCACUAUGUUUUAACUGACGCUGAUGGACGAAAGCGUGGGGAGCGAACAGGAUUAGAUACCCUGGUAGUCCACGCCGUAAACGAUGCUAACUCGUUUUUGGGUCUUCGGAUUCAGAGACUAAGCGAAAGUGAUAAGUUAGCCACCUGGGGAGUACGUUCGCAAGAAUGAAACUCAAAGGAAUUGACGGGGGCCCGCACAAGCGGUGGAUUAUGUGGUUUAAUUCGAUGAUACGCGAGGAACCUUACCAAGGCUUAAAUGGGAAUUGACAGGUUUAGAAAUAGACUUUUCUUCGGACAAUUUUCAAGGUGCUGCAUGGUUGUCGUCAGCUCGUGCCGUGAGGUGUUAGGUUAAGUCCUGCAACGAGCGCAA